GGAUUAGAUACCCUGGUAGUCCACGCCCUAAACGAUGUCAACUAGUUGUUGGGGAUUCAUUUCCUUAGUAACGUAGCUAACGCGUGAAGUUGACCGCCUGGGGAGUACGGUCGCAAGAUUAAAACUCAAAGGAAUUGACGGGGACCCGCACAAGCGGUGGAUGAUGUGGAUUAAUUCGAUGCAACGCGAAAAACCUUACCUACCCUUGACAUGUAUGGAACCUGGCUGAGAGGUCGGGGUGCCCGAAAGGGAGCCAUAACACAGGUGCUGCAUGGCUGUCGUCAGCUCGUGCCG
This 294-nucleotide ribosomal RNA is filed under the name uncultured bacterium. RNAcentral's name for it is "partial 16S ribosomal RNA". It matches the Rfam family "Bacterial small subunit ribosomal RNA", at positions 775 to 1067 of the family's 1533-position model. The record is from RNAcentral.